RNAcentral lists this ribosomal RNA (491 nucleotides) under uncultured bacterium. RNAcentral's name for it is "partial 16S ribosomal RNA". It matches the Rfam family "Bacterial small subunit ribosomal RNA", at positions 29 to 506 of the family's 1533-position model. The record is from RNAcentral.
AGUGAACGCUGGCGGUAGGCCUAAUACAUGCAAGUCGAACGGCAGCACAGUAAGAGCUUGCUCUUACGGUUGGCGAGUGGCGGACGGGUGAGGAAUACAUCGGCAUCUACUUUUUCGUGGGGGAUAACGUAGGGAAACUUACGCUAAUACCGCAUACGACCUACGGGAGAAAGCAGGGGAGCUUCGGACCUUGCGCGAUUGAAUUAGCCGAUGUCGGACUAGCUAGUUGGAGGGGUAAAGGCCCACCAAGGCGACGAUCCGUAGCUGGUCUGAGAGGAUGAUCAGCCACACUGGAAAUGAGACACGGUCCAGACUCCUACGGGAGGCAGCAGUGGGGAAUAUGGGACAAUGGGCGCAAGCCUGAUCCAGCCAUACCGCGUGGGUGAAGAAGGCCUUCGGGUUGUAAAGCCCUUUUGUUGGGAAAGAAAAGCAGCAGGUUAAUACCCCGCUGUUCUGACGGUACCCAAAGAAUAAGCACCGGCUAACUUCGU